RNAcentral lists this transfer RNA (60 nucleotides) under Agrilus planipennis (emerald ash borer). Lineage: Eukaryota; Metazoa; Arthropoda; Insecta; Coleoptera; Buprestidae. The record is from Rfam by way of RNAcentral.
GUAGCUUAGUGGUCAGAGCACUGAUGCGUAAAUUUAAUUGUCCCGGGUUCGAUUCCCGGC